UGGCGGGGGGAGGGGGCCGCCGCAGCCCGCCCCGGCCCGCCGCCCUCGGUCGCCUCGCCGCCCUCCCCUCGUAUCGCCCCCAGCUCUGCCCUCCCGUGAAGCCCCGGCCCUGGGAGUCCCGUCGUUUCUCCCCGCGGCGGCAGGGGCGCUGGCGGGGGGAGCCCGGCGUUUCCAGCCUUGCUGGAGCUCGGCUGCGCCGGUCCCGGGAGGCGUAAAACGUUGUGGCCGUUCUGAGCCAAAGCGGCUUGCUGAGGGAGGAGAGGCCCUGCUUGCCCCAUGCGCCCGGCGAGAGGGCAGCCACCUGCCGCCCUGGGGACCGGGAGCAGUGGCCCAGGAGGUUGUGAUUCUGGAAAACAGAAGGCAGUGCUGGACAACUAUAGCUCUACGUUUAAGUAUUGUGACAGUGAAUUACUGUGCAAGAGAGAACAUUCCGAGUGAGUCUCAAAAUAGAAGGCAGUUAAGUAAUGCAAGUGAUAAUGAGGAGAAACCAUGUGCUGAUCCAGCUGUCCACACAUCAUUAAGGAGUCCUUUCUGGAUCACAGAUGUGCAAAAAAUUACCAGUACAGAAGAGGAACUGGCAAAAUGCAUUAGGAAAAGAGAUUUGCAAGGAAUGAUGUUCCUUCCACCCAGUAAAUCAGAGAUUCUUUAAAAAAAAUAGUAGUGGGAGACAGAAAAAAGCACUCUUCUCCUCUAUGCCCUUCCUUGUUUUUUUCUCUUCUUGUAAAACCCGAUAAAAGGAGAAUUAAUGACAUGCUUUAAGGAUGCCCUUGAUCUGUGUAAUUAGAGAAGCAAUUCUGCCUUACUUCGUCACAGACUACUUUCUCCUAAGACAGCACCCAUCCCCUGGUUUAGCCUGCCUGGCAAGUUACAGGGUUGUCUGCAAGUCACUGUGAGAUCCUGGAG
RNAcentral lists this long non-coding RNA (903 nucleotides) under Apteryx owenii (little spotted kiwi). RNAcentral describes it as "lncRNA (ENSAOWG00000006527.1)". Lineage: Eukaryota; Metazoa; Chordata; Aves; Apterygiformes; Apterygidae. The record is from RNAcentral.